RNAcentral lists this ribosomal RNA (964 nucleotides) under uncultured bacterium. RNAcentral's name for it is "bacterial SSU rRNA". It matches the Rfam family "Bacterial small subunit ribosomal RNA", at positions 483 to 1447 of the family's 1533-position model. The record is from RNAcentral.
CCAGAAAGGGACGGCUAANUACGUGCCAGCAGCCGCGGUAAUACGUAGNUCCCGAGCGUUGUCCGGAUUUAUUGGGCGUAAAGCGAGCGCAGGCGGUUAGAUAAGUNUGAAGUUAAAGGCUGUGGCUUAACCAUAGUACGCUUUGGAAACUGUUUAACUUGAGUGCAGAAGGGGAGAGUGGAAUUCCAUGUGUAGCGGUGAAAUGCGUAGAUAUAUGGAGGAACACCGGUGGCGAAAGCGGCUCUCUGGUCUGUAACUGACGCCGAGGCUCGAAAGCGUGGGGAGCGAACAGGAUUAGAUACCCUGGUAGUCCACGCCGUAAACGAUGAGUGCUAGGUGUUAGGCCCUUUCCGGGGCUUAGUGCCGCAGCUAACGCAUUAAGCACUCCGCCUGGGGAGUACGACCGCAAGGUUGAAACUCAAAGGAAUUGACGGGGGCCCGCACAAGCGGUGGAGCAUGUGGUUUAAUUCGAAGCAACGCGAAGAACCUUACCAGGUCUUGACAUCCCGAUGCCCGCUCUAGAGAUAGAGUUUUACUUCGGUACAUCGGUGACAGGUGGUGCAUGGUUGUCGUCAGCUCGUGUCGUGAGAUGUUGGGUUAAGUCCCGCAACGAGCGCAACCCUUAUUGUUAGUUGCCAUCAUUCAGUUGGGCACUCUAGCGAGACUGCCGGUAAUAAACCGGAGGAAGGUGGGGAUGACGUCAAAUCAUCAUGCCCCUUAUGACCUGGGCUACACACGUGCUACAAUGGCUGGUACAACGAGUCGCAAGUCGGUGACGGCAAGCUAAUCUCUUAAAGCCAGUCUCAGUUCGGAUUGUAGGCUGCAACUCGCCUACAUGAAGUCGGAAUCGCUAGUAAUCGCGGAUCAGCACGCCGCGGUGAAUACGUUCCCGGGCCUUGUACACACCGCCCGUCACACCACGAGAGUUUGUAACACCCGAAGUCGGUGAGGUAACCUUUUAGGA